Molecule: long non-coding RNA, 941 nt
Organism: Coffea arabica (coffee)
Lineage: Eukaryota; Viridiplantae; Streptophyta; Magnoliopsida; Gentianales; Rubiaceae
Source: RefSeq, a predicted model, not a curated record
GUAGUUAUUUAAACAAUACUGAAGCCUAAGCUACAGGGUUAAUGGUCAGUAUCCCGGAGAAUGGUGGUAUGCUGAAUAAUGGUCGUGUUCUGGGCUGGAGGAGCCUCCGCGGCCAAGUCGCUUCCUCCAAUACCUCCAUCCCACUUGGAUACGCCUUGCGGCGAGGCCUCGCCAGUAAGGAGAUUGAUACCUGCAGAAAUAGAAUACCACACUAAAUCUGUAAGGAACGUGAACAACACAGAAUCCUGCUCUAAUUGGAAUCGAGCAAGCGGCGAGUGCAGUGGGGAGUAGGAGCUACUGAUUACAAAAUGAGCCCUUAUCAGACAUGUGCAAUGGUUUCAUGAAGUACGUUAGCAUCUUGUGGAACAGGUGUGGAAUUUCUGUAGGUUUGAAUGGUAAAAGGCCACUAAGUAAGAUACAGUCCUGAUCAAUUUCUGCUUUUCCUUGAUCCUUUUCAAGACUACACAUGGUAAAUGAGCACACAGCGGGAGGUUUCAAUUUGUAUUCUUGAAGAAAUGCAGGGAUAAGGAUUACAGCCAUUACCUUAUAGCACCUUGAACACGUGGGUUCCUUAAAAAUCUCGAAAACAGAGUAGUGACUUCUUGAAGAUCUGCAGAUCGCAAUACAAAUGCCUCUACAUUUGUUAAGCACCUUACUUCUCGAUUGCUUAUCAUGUUGGGUCCUGGAAACCUGAGCUUUUUUCCAUCUGAGACAAAAAAACUUGCAUUAUUCUUAUUCAGAUCUAUUGUGGGCAGCAAGCUAACUCGUUUAGUGGCCUAUCCUUAAUCUAUCGAAAUAUAGGAUUCAGCACCAGAAAGGCAGGUAUACAAUACAUUGCAUAUUACAGUCAUUAAACAUCACAGAACUGGAAUUGCUUUGUUGAUGGUUCAAUUAGGCUUUGAAUAUAUUAUGCCAACAUGCAGAUUCAUGUGCCCAUUUCA